UUAACAGCACUGAACUUUAUCUAUAAAAUAUGUGCAGCAUGGGCAGCAGCAGCAGAGAAAGGCUCCCCAAAUUGCCCUGCCAGAAUGCCUCAACUCUGACCUGGUGCAACAGGCUUAGGGUAAUUCAGUGUUCAUCCCCAUUAUAUUCUUUGCCUUU
This 157-nucleotide small RNA is filed under the name Gopherus agassizii (Agassiz's desert tortoise). RNAcentral's name for it is "TUC338 (ENSGAGG00000007684.1)". Lineage: Eukaryota; Metazoa; Chordata; Testudines; Testudinidae. The record is from RNAcentral.